This is a non-coding RNA of Monascus purpureus, 85 nucleotides long. NCBI's taxonomy places the organism in Eukaryota, Fungi, Ascomycota, Eurotiomycetes, Eurotiales, Aspergillaceae. The record is from the annotation of a GenBank genome assembly.
GCGCCGAUGGUCAAGUGGUUACGAUGCGAUCCUCCCAUAUUAUCCGGACUAGAUCGCGACCCGGGUUCGAAUCCCGGUCGGCGCA